RNAcentral lists this unclassified non-coding RNA (4030 nucleotides) under Pomacea canaliculata. RNAcentral's name for it is "rNA-binding protein 28-like, transcript variant X9". Lineage: Eukaryota; Metazoa; Mollusca; Gastropoda; Architaenioglossa; Ampullariidae. The record is from RNAcentral.
GUGAAUGACGUCAUAUUACAAAAUGACGCAAUGACGAAAAAGAACAUGAAAUAUAGAUCGUAGAGAGUAACGACAUGGUUCGUGUGUCUUCUCACACUGAAGCCUUUGAAGCAACACUGGAAAUAUUAUCUGCUGCUAAAAAUGUUGCGAUGGUUGAACAGGAUGUCAGAGAGCUCUUGAGAAUACAAGCUACAGAAGCCGAACAGGAGAAGAAGCAAGCCGCUGACGCUGUUGACGUCGGUAGUAAUGAGAGCAUAAAACAACAAAAAAAUAAGACAAAGGUUCAUCCUAGUGAUCAUCGGAUCCAACUUCAUAUCAGUCAAAAUGCUAACACCACCACAAGGCAACACAGAAAAGAGAAUAUUCUUCCGCCUGAAUAUUGGACGCCUGAGUACCCUUGGCUCACAAAAGAUUUCUACAAUGAGAAAGGGGAGGUAGACGAACGUUCCACUUCAUUGACCACAUUCGAGGACAUACCGGCCCGCCUUUUCUUCCAUGUGAUCACAAUCAUGUGGCGCAGAAAUAUUAGCACAAAUCACUGUUUCUUGGUGAUGGAGUUCAUGGGCGGCGAACGGCUGAACCGCAUUCUCGACAAGGUGGGCUGCAUAUCCGAAUCGGCGGCCACAUUCUACAUCGCUGAAAUAGCGCUGGGAGUGUUCUUUCUGCACCAGAACCGAGUGAUCCUCAGGGCACUGUCGACGUCGGAUGUUGUGGUAGGCGAAGAUGGCCAUCUGCGUUUGUACGACUUCUCCUCGAGCGCUGACAACGUCGCUCCAGGCGAGUUCAUCGGGGGCUUGGGUGGGAGCGUUCAUAGUUCAGCACCCGAGAUGCUCUUUGAUACACUAUUCAACAAGGCUGUUGAUUAUUGGGGAAUCGGAGUGAUAUUGUAUACGAUGGUCUCCGGAAAGUUGCCGUUUUCCGGGACGACAAGAGCCAAACUCUUUCAAUCUAUCAGCUACGAACAUGAGACGUAUAACUCUGCUCUUAGCGAAGGAACCGUGGAUUUAUGCAAAAACUUGUUGGCCAAAGAUCAGAAAUGUCGACUGGGAUACAAUUCUGACGCAGAGGAACAGUUCAAAAGACAUCCGUUCUUCGACAAUCUGUCAUGGAGGAAGAUGGAAAUGCAAAUGUAUAGUCCUCCUUUUAUUCCCAACUACGAGGACUACGAAGUCUUGACUGCUUCUUGGGAUUUCACGGCAGACCAAGAGAUGAUGGUGAAGAAGAAGGUUGUAAAGGCGUACAAGAAACUGUCGGAAUCGAGCAGCGUGCCCAAGCUGAAGCAGGACAUCCCUCGAAGGACUCUGGCUUCGAAAGUAAGCGCGGAGGCAUCGUUGUCACUCAAUGACUUGGACAAGAAGCGCUCCCUCUCAAAGCCGCCCGAGGUGUUCUUGUCUUACCAUGCCUCCAAUAUGGGGUUGACGCCUCUGGAUGGGCAUUGGGAAACUGGGGAGUGCUCCAGCUCCUUGGAGAAGAGCCACGAGAGGGCUCGAAGCAGCUUAGCCAUACCGUCAUUACUGGAGACCUCGUCCAGCCUCUCUGCGCAGUACAGCCACAUCUCAGAGUUAAGCACCGAAAUUCAGAGUGCCGGGCAACCGGACUCAAAGAGGGCCUCGCAGGUACAUCCCUCCGCGGAUGCAAUCCUCUCUCGGGACUCGGGACACCGAUCACUGUCGCACAAAAGGCUACGAACAACGGAAGGUCUCCACAGCUCUUCCCUCAGCAGUUCGAAAUGGCAUAAGUCGAUGCAACUCUCAAAAAGGCGAAGGCAAAAGUCCUUUCUGUGCAGAUGCAAACCGUGCCACUGGAAGCAGCGCUUCCAGAGCUGCUGGGAUUCCUUUCUUGCGUGUCUGGAGGAGAACAAAGUCACCUGCCGGGCUGUCUGCUGCGGACCAGAAGACAUAGACUACAAGGCACUGGCUAACGAGCAACCCGGGCGUCUCUCACAAUCAACGCCCAAACCCCAGAUAGUCUCCUCAGACUGUUCCUCUCCUUACGCGGUGGACGUCUUUGGUGAGAUUAAUACCGCCGAUACCCAAGACUCCUCCAAGCCGGGGGAAUGGAUCGGCCUUGGCAGUCAGAAACAGUCGAGACCGCAAGAUGUCAAAGCCGAGCAAAAGCCGUCCACCUCUGCCUUAGAGAGCGUGCCGGCUGAGGCUCGUGACCAUGGCAACAACGACCUGAAACGGGUCUUUGACUGAAUGAGGCAGACACAUCUGCUCAAUAUCAUCGGUUGUCAAAGCGUCGAUGUCUGAAGCAGCAAGCUACUUGGUCUUGUCAUGUUAUAGAGUAUACUGCAAUGCGAUUGUAAAUUAUUUAAAAACUGUUACUGAUGGAUUCAUUUUUUUUUUUAGGAAGUAAAUUAGAAAAAUAUACACUAAAAAUAUACACUAAAAUAAACGAACAGCGCACUGGAAAGCUUGAAUAUAUGUAACAUCAAUCAAACCAACGUCACAAUUGUACAUAGGUGGUACGAAAUCGAAUUCUGUAAACUGCAAGUCACAACAUAAAAAACAAUCAACCAAUAAUUAAGAAAGGUGUCUACAUAUAAGUCUAACACCAGAACUGCAUUGACCAGAAUGUAAAAUCGUAUACUUGUUUUAUAACACAUUACAUUGAUUGACAGGCAGGCUUUCUUUUUUAAACUGUCUCCUCGACGACCAUAUUAUUGACUUUAAAACUAUAUUCGAUUUGCCUCAUUUUAAAACAAAGUUAGUGCUACUUUUUUUUGCUGCUGUUGUUGUCUUUGUAACUAAAACGCACGGCGACAAAAAUUAGAUGCUGUGAAAGUAAAGGAAAAUUCUAUUAAUUUGUAAUUUCGGUGGGUGCUUAGUCAGUCAUACUUUGUUAAAGACACGAGCUGGAAAACUUAACAAAAAAAUCUGAAUAGAAAGGAAAACAAUUAAAACAGAAAGCAAGACAGAAGUAACGAAUGAAUAAAUGAAUGAAUGAAAUCCCUUACUGACGCUAAAAAUAGUGAUCCUGUUGUACAUUGGUACUGUAAUCAAUGAAUCCUUUUUAUUUUAUCUAUUGCAUAAACAUUAGAUCGGCUAAGUCUACAAAAAUGGUUUCGUUCAAUUAAGUUAGAUGUACUAAUAUUAGCCACUACACUAACAAAACUUGUAUGUACAUUAAUUUCAAAUAGCAGAAUUCAAUGGCUAUGCGUUUAUAAGGCUUUAAUUUUGUCAUUAUUUUAACUGUACUAGUUGAAACAACAUAUAUUAUAUAAAUAUCCCAUCAUUUUUUUUUUCCUGCUUUCUCAGUCUCUGAUCUCUCACACACACACACAUAUACGUCAGGUAGCAUGCAUCUUGCAGAAUAUAUAUUAAUGAACAAGGCUCAAGAUGUCUCGUAGUAAAGCAGGCUAUAUUAGAACAAAUGUCUCGGAGAAGUUUUAAUUCGCUUGACGUAUAUAUAUUGUCUUCAUAAUUCUUAUAGCGUUUCAAAGUGAUGUUUGAUUUAGCAAUUUAAUUUAGUAGCACGUCCUCUUAAUCUUAAAGCUAACUUUAUGAACAAAACCCAUAGUCGCUACGUAGAAUAUAGAGAGGAAUACAAUUAUUGAAGUAAAUGAAAGAAAGGAGCGAGGGUAUCUUCAGCAAAUUCAGUGAGCGAUUCAGUGCACAAGCACCGCGAGCUGUGCUCGGGGUCAAGGUGAAGGUUACUGGGACAGUGUCCUCGUUCGCGGAUGUGUAAGCUGAAAUUUUUAGACAUUCGACAAGUAAUCAUAAUUGCACUAAAAAGUUUCGAAAUAAAUUGUGUGAUUGCUAUUAGUAGAAUAUACAUUUCUUUGAACGUUGUAAAUGACAUUCACUGCACGCUUACACUGUAGGACCGCAGAAACACAUGCGCAUGCUUCAAGCAUGGCCGACAAGAAAAGUAAAACACUGUUUAUAAGGAAUUUACCUUUCUCAGCGACGAACGACAAACUUUCAGAAGUUUUUGGAGAGGUUGGUCCAAUAAAAACUGCUUUUGUCGUCAAACAAAAAGGUUCAAAUAAGUGCAGAGGUUAUGGCUAUGUAAAAUUUUCCAUGAU